Molecule: ribosomal RNA, 493 nt
Filed under: uncultured bacterium
Lineage: Bacteria
Description: partial 16S ribosomal RNA
Rfam family: Bacterial small subunit ribosomal RNA
Source: RNAcentral
AGUGAACGCUGGCGGUAGGCCUAACACAUGCAAGUCGAACGGCAGCACAGUAAGAGCUUGCUCUUACGGGUGGCGAGUGGCGGACGGGUGAGGAAUACAUCGGAAUCUACUUUUUCGUGGGGGAUAACGUAGGGAAACUUACGCUAAUACCGCAUACGACCUACGGGUGAAAGCAGGGGAUCUUCGGACCUUGCGCGAUUGAAUGAGCCGAUGUCGGAUUAGCUAGUCGGCGGGGUAAAGGCCCACCAAGGCGACGAUCCGUAGCUGGUCUGAGAGGAUGAUCAGCCACACUGGAACUGAGACACGGUCCAGACUCCUACGGGAGGCAGCAGUGGGGAAUAUUGGACAAUGGGCGCAAGCCUGAUCCAGCCAUACCGCGUGGGUGAAGAAGGCCUUCGGGUUGUAAAGCCCUUUUGUUGGGAAAGAAAAGCAGCAGGUUAAUACCCCGCUGUUCUGACGGUACCCAAAGAAUAAGCACCGGCUAACUUCGUGC